This is a long non-coding RNA of Armigeres subalbatus, 586 nucleotides long. RefSeq lists it as uncharacterized. The record is from RefSeq and is a predicted model, not a curated record. NCBI's taxonomy places the organism in Eukaryota, Metazoa, Arthropoda, Insecta, Diptera, Culicidae. The transcript is spliced from 3 exons.
GGAAAUGGGAGAAAAUGCGAUUGUCGCGAGAGCUCAAUUCGGUUUUCAACUGGAUCUACAAUACGGCCAGUAUAGAGCUUAUUAGCUUAUUGAUAGCGUAAUGAACGCAUGUACAGCUAAUGUAAAUGCUUACGGUUACAUAUUCUUUGUUAAACAAAAAUAAUUGGGCAUUUUGAAAUGUACGGUUUGUUUUUAGUGUCAGCAGUCGUCGGAAUUUAGGCAUCUUUUUUUCUAAAGUUUUCGGAAAAAAAACCUGUGCGCACCAUCGCGAUUUUUCGUAGGAUAGUUGUCAUUCAUAAAGGUAUUACAGGACAUAAUAGCCAUUAACACCCGGUGGGAAGGAGGAGCAACUUAUCCUAUCAGCGGUUGAAAAAAAAACUCACCUGCGGCCGAGAACUUAUAAGCAUUGUCAACAUAGUCUGAGUCAACGAUGCCUAACAAAAUAACAUUUCCAAACAGAUCGGCAGUUGGUUCCCCUUUAUUAUAAAACGUAAGCGGAAGUUGAAAUACUGUGUACUGUAUCGGUAUAAAUAUUCCUGUCCAAACAUAUCUGGUAAAAAUAAAAUUAUGAAUCAUUAAACCCAAA